This 477-nucleotide ribosomal RNA is filed under the name Candidatus Scalindua brodae. RNAcentral describes it as "bacterial SSU rRNA". It matches the Rfam family "Bacterial small subunit ribosomal RNA", at positions 365 to 832 of the family's 1533-position model. The record is from RNAcentral. Lineage: Bacteria; Pseudomonadati; Planctomycetota; Candidatus Brocadiia; Candidatus Brocadiales; Candidatus Scalinduaceae.
UUCGCAAUGCCCGAAAGGGUGACGAAGCGACGCCGCGUGGGUGAGGAAGGCCUUCGGGUUGUAAAGCCCUGUCAGGAGUUAAGAAAUAUAAGUGCGCUAAUAUCGCAUUUAUUUGACGAAGGCUCCAAAGGAAGCCACGGCUAACUCUGUGCCAGCAGCCGCGGUAAUACAGAGGUGGCAAGCGUUGUUCGGAAUUAUUGGGCGUAAAGAGGACGUAGGUGGGUUUGUAAGUCAGAUGUGAAAGCCUUCUGUUCAACGGAAGAAUUGCAUCUGAAACUACAAGUCUUGAGUGUAGGAGGGGAGAAUGGAACUUCUGGUGGAGCGGUGAAAUGCGUAGAUAUCAGAAGGAACGCCGGCGGCGAAAGCGAUUCUCUGGCCUAUUACUGACACUCAGUGUGCGAAAGCUAGGGGAGCAAACGGGAUUAGAUACCCCGGUAGUCCUAGCUGUAAACGAUGGGCACUAAGUAGAGGGGUUUU